Molecule: long non-coding RNA, 252 nt
Filed under: Vigna radiata
Lineage: Eukaryota; Viridiplantae; Streptophyta; Magnoliopsida; Fabales; Fabaceae
Description: long non-coding RNA (VRAD_LNC009109)
Source: RNAcentral
CGUAAAGUAUGAGUAUAAGUAGAUAAUUUAUGUAUUUUUUAAAUUAUAUUAAAUAUUUCCAAUAUAUAUAUAUAGGGGUUUGUUAACACGCGUACGCCUGUUUUUCAGUUGGUACGUUUUAACAAUGUGUACCGGAUUAUAAUAGACAAAAAUAUCCUCAUUUAUCAUGGAUUCUAAGUUUUAAGGUAAAGGAUAUUUAAAUAAUUUUCAUUCUCAAAACUAAAAAAAAAAAACGAAACCCCCAAACCCUUA